This 506-nucleotide ribosomal RNA is filed under the name uncultured Burkholderia sp. RNAcentral describes it as "bacterial SSU rRNA". It matches the Rfam family "Bacterial small subunit ribosomal RNA", at positions 8 to 507 of the family's 1533-position model. Lineage: Bacteria; Pseudomonadati; Pseudomonadota; Betaproteobacteria; Burkholderiales; Burkholderiaceae. The record is from RNAcentral.
AGAGUUUGAUCCUGGCUCAGAUUGAACGCUGGCGGCAUGCCUUACACAUGCAAGUCGAACGGCAGCACGGGUGCUUGCACCUGGUGGCGAGUGGCGAACGGGUGAGUAAUACAUCGGAACAUGUCCUGUAGUGGGGGAUAGCCCGGCGAAAGCCGGAUUAAUACCGCAUACGAUCUACGGAUGAAAGCGGGGGACCUUCGGGCCUCGCGCUAUAGGGUUGGCCGAUGGCUGAUUAGCUAGUUGGUGGGGUAAAGGCCUACCAAGGCGACGAUCAGUAGCUGGUCUGAGAGGACGACCAGCCACACUGGGACUGAGACACGGCCCAGACUCCUACGGGAGGCAGCAGUGGGGAAUUUUGGACAAUGGGCGAAAGCCUGAUCCAGCAAUGCCGCGUGUGUGAAGAAGGCCUUCGGGUUGUAAAGCACUUUUGUCCGGAAAGAAAUCCUUGGCUCUAAUACAGUCGGGGGAUGACGGUACCGGAAGAAUAAGCACCGGCUAACUACGUG